Molecule: long non-coding RNA, 874 nt
Filed under: Bemisia tabaci
Lineage: Eukaryota; Metazoa; Arthropoda; Insecta; Hemiptera; Aleyrodidae
Description: lncRNA ENSSSA3NGG008190
Source: RNAcentral
GAUGAUGAUGUUAUUGGGGAAUUCAGAGCGGAGAAAGAAGAGGAGAAUAAGAAAUCCGAAAUCCCUGAAGUGGAAGUUGGCAUGCCUGGAUGGGGUUAUUGGGCUGGUCACAAACUGCAACCCAGCCAAAACCCUCGCAAAAGACGCCGUAGGAUUAUAAACUUGCCAAAACCGCCACCUCGGCUGGAUCAGAACAAAGGACGUGCAAUUAUUUUUGAAGAAGAAUCCCAAUCUGCACAGGCUCAUCAGAUUGAUGCAAUUCCAUUCCCAUUCAAAUCAGUCGAAGAUUACGAAAAAGUGUCCGGCAGCCAGUAGGGAAAGUGUUUGUACCCACAACCGCCAGUAGGAAGUUAACUGCUCCACCUGUUUUAACCAAAUUAGGAACUGUAAUCGAACCCAUGGAUUCAUCUCAGUUAUUGAAAACUGAUAUUUUGAAAUUAAAUAAAUGAACGUUUUAUUUUAAAGCUUGUUGGUCUAUUUCAACUAAUUCUACUGGUCAACACGCUUUGAUCUGCCAAAAAACUAGGAAUUGAGGCCAGGCUGAUUUAGUGCCCGCUGAUUCUGAACCUGACCUCUAUUUUUCUGCACCAGUUCAGUCAUGUCUGAAAAAGUCCUAAUUUUCUUUAGAAAUCAAACUUUGCUGUGUUAAAUUCUAACACCCGGAAAGUCUGACCCCAACGAAGAGAAACCAAGGUCAUUUCUGGAUUCAGCAGCCAAAAACAUGCAGCCAAUUUUGCUGAAAAUUGGCGUACCCUUAUUUUUCACCUCUUGCCCAAAAAAUAAAGUCACUGUUAUUCAUGAAAAUACCUUUUUCCCCUCUUCGCUAUUGUUUAUUUUUAAUUGACUAAGAGACAUUUUAAAAAGUCUUCUUUGA